This 497-nucleotide ribosomal RNA is filed under the name uncultured bacterium. RNAcentral's name for it is "partial 16S ribosomal RNA". It matches the Rfam family "Bacterial small subunit ribosomal RNA", at positions 28 to 507 of the family's 1533-position model. The record is from RNAcentral.
GAUGAACGCUGGCGGCGUGCCUAAUACAUGCAAGUCGAGCGAACGGACGAGAAGCUUGCUUCUCUGAUGUUAGCGGCGGACGGGUGAGUAACACGUGGAUAACCUACCUAUAAGACUGGGAUAACUUCGGGAAACCGGAGCUAAUACCGGAUAAUAUUUUGAACCGCAUGGUUCAAAAGUGAAAGACGGUCUUGCUGUCACUUAUAGAUGGAUCCGCGCUGCAUUAGCUAGUUGGUAAGGUAACGGCUUACCAAGGCAACGAUGCAUAGCCGACCUGAGAGGAUGAGGAGGCAAACAGUAACGGAGACACGGUCCAGACUCCAAGGGGAGACAGCGGAGGGAAAUUUUGCACAAUGGGCCAAAGCCUGAUCAACCCAUGCGGCGGGGGUAAAGAAGGUCUUCGAAUUUUAAAACACUUUAAGACGGGAAGAAAGAAAGGAAAAUCAAAACUUGACGUUGUGACGUUAGCAACAAAAAAAGCAACGGCUAAAUUCGUG